Molecule: ribosomal RNA, 460 nt
Filed under: uncultured bacterium
Lineage: Bacteria
Description: partial 16S ribosomal RNA
Rfam family: Bacterial small subunit ribosomal RNA
Source: RNAcentral
CCUACGGGUGGCAGCAGUGAGGAAUAUUGGUCAAUGGACGAGAGUCUGAACCAGCCAAGUAGCGUGAAGGAUGACUGCACAACGGGUCGUAAACCUCUUUUAUAUGGGAAUAAAAUGUUCCACGUGUGGGCUUUUGUAUGUACCAUAUGAAUAAGCAUCGGCUAACUCCGUGCCAGCAGCCGCGGUAAUACGGAGGAUCCGAGCGUUAUCCGGAUUUAUUGGGUUUAAAGGGAGCGUAGGUGGAUUGUUAAGUCAGUUUGGAAAGUUUGCGGCGCAACCGUAAAAUUGCAGUUGAAACUGGCAGUCUGGAGUACAGUAGAGGUGGGCGGAAGUCGUGGUGUAGCGGUGAAAUGCUUAGAUAUCACGAAGAACGCCGAUUGCGAAGGCAGCUUACUGGACUGCAACUGACACUGAGGCUCGAAAGUGUGGGUAUCAAACAGGAUUAGAUACCCGUGUAGUC